GAUGAAGAACGUAGCGAAAUGCGAUAAGUAAUGUGAAUUGCAGAAUUCAGUGAAUCAUCGAAUCUUUGAACGCACAUUGCGCCCGCCAGUAUUCUGGCGGGCAUGCCUGUUCGAGCGUCAUUACAACCCUCAGGCCCCCGGGCCUGGCGUUGGGGAUCGGCGGAAGCCCCCUGUGGCACACGCCGUCCCUCAAAUACAGUGGCGGUCCCGCCGCAGCUUCCAUUGCGUAGUAGCUAACACCUCGCAACUGGAGAGCGGCGCGGCCAUGCCGUAAAACACCCAACUUCUGAAUGUUGACCUCGAAUCAGGUAGGAAUACCCGCUGAACUUAAGCAUAUCAAUAAGCGGAGGA
This 351-nucleotide unclassified non-coding RNA is filed under the name soil metagenome. Its description in RNAcentral is "partial contains 5.8S ribosomal RNA, internal transcribed spacer 2, and large subunit ribosomal RNA". The stretch from base 1 to 120 matches the Rfam family "5.8S ribosomal RNA", at positions 35 to 154 of the family's 154-position model. The record is from RNAcentral.